This 253-nucleotide ribosomal RNA is filed under the name uncultured bacterium. Its description in RNAcentral is "partial 16S ribosomal RNA". It matches the Rfam family "Bacterial small subunit ribosomal RNA", at positions 524 to 776 of the family's 1533-position model. The record is from RNAcentral.
UACAGAGGUCUCAAGCGUUGUUCGGAUUCAUUGGGCGUAAAGGGUGCGUAGGUGGUGAGGUAAGUCGGAUGUGAAAUCUCCGGGCUCAACCCGGAAAUGGCAUUGGAAACUACCUUGCUGGAGGAUUUGAGGGGGGAUUGGAAUACUUGGUGUAGCAGUGAAAUGCGUAGAUAUCAAGUGGAACACCAGUGGCGAAGGCGAAUCCCUGGAAAAUACCUGACACUGAGGCACGAAAGCUAGGGGAGCAAACAGG